UGAGCAAAAUCCCAGUGAGCACUGAUGAAC
Molecule: non-coding RNA, 30 nt
Filed under: Homo sapiens (human)
Lineage: Eukaryota; Metazoa; Chordata; Mammalia; Primates; Hominidae
Source: RNAcentral